Pezoporus flaviventris is the source of this 368-nucleotide long non-coding RNA. RefSeq lists it as uncharacterized. NCBI's taxonomy places the organism in Eukaryota, Metazoa, Chordata, Aves, Psittaciformes, Psittacidae. The record is from RefSeq and is a predicted model, not a curated record. The transcript is spliced from 2 exons.
CUCCAGCCACCAGAAGUUACAUCAGGCAGCAAAAUCAAGAACAAAAAAAAAGGGUCAUUCUCAUUUUUCAGGCAGUUCAAUUCAUCUUGAAGCUGAUGCACUGAAAGCUGUUUCAUUUGAUGGAUUUCCAAAGAGCAAACUGAAGGAGCUGAGACAGAGCUGUACACCUAACAAAGGAGAUGGUACCUUUACAAGAGCUGUGGGUGCUUCAUCCUUGGAAAUGUUCAAGGCCAGGUUGGACGGGGGUUGGAGCAACCUGGAAGGUGUCUCUGCCCAUGGCAGGGAGUUGGAACUAGGUGAUCUUUAAUGUCUCUUCCAACCCAAAGCACUCUAUGAUUCUAUGAAUAAAUAACAGUGACAAAAACAUG